RNAcentral lists this ribosomal RNA (253 nucleotides) under uncultured bacterium. Its description in RNAcentral is "partial 16S ribosomal RNA". It matches the Rfam family "Bacterial small subunit ribosomal RNA", at positions 524 to 776 of the family's 1533-position model. The record is from RNAcentral.
CACGUGGGUGGCAAGCGUUAUCCGGAUUUAUUGGGCGUAAAGGGAGCGCAGGCGGUCUUUUAAGUCUGAUGUGAAAGCCUUCGGCUUAACCGGAGUAGUGCAUUGGAAACUGGGAGACUUGAGUGCAGAAGAGGAGAGUGGAACUCCAUGUGUAGCGGUGAAAUGCGUAGAUAUAUGGAAGAACACCAGUGGCGAAAGCGGCUCUCUGGUCUGUAACUGACGCUGAGGUUCGAAAGCGUGGGUAGCAAACAGG